This 492-nucleotide ribosomal RNA is filed under the name uncultured bacterium. RNAcentral describes it as "partial 16S ribosomal RNA". It matches the Rfam family "Bacterial small subunit ribosomal RNA", at positions 29 to 507 of the family's 1533-position model. The record is from RNAcentral.
AGUGAACGCUGGCGGUAGGCCUAACACAUGCAAGUCGAACGGCAGCACAGUAAGAGCUUGCUCUUACGGGUGGCGAGUGGCGGACGGGUGAGGAAUACAUCGGAAUCUACUUUUUCGUGGGGGUUAACGUAGGGAAACUUACGCUAAUACCGCAUACGACCUACGGGUGAAAGCAGGGGAUCUUCGGACCUUGCGCGAUUGAAUGAGCCGAUGUCGGAUUAGCUAGUUGGCGGGGUAAAGGCCCACCAAGGCGACGAUCCGUAGCUGGUCUGAGAGGAUGAUCAGCGACACUGGAACUGGGACACGGUCAAGACUCCUACGGGAGGCAGCAGUGGGGAAUAUUGGACAAUGGGCGCAAGCCUGAUCCAGCCAUACCGCGUGGGUGAAGAAGGCCUUCGGGUUGUAAAGCCCUUUUGUUGGGAAAGAAAAGCAGCAGGUUAAUACCCCGCUGUUCUGACGGUACCCAAAGAAGAAGCACCGGCUAACUUCGUG